Schistosoma rodhaini is the source of this 48-nucleotide non-coding RNA. The record is from Rfam. Lineage: Eukaryota; Metazoa; Platyhelminthes; Trematoda; Strigeidida; Schistosomatidae.
AUCUAGCUGACGAGUCCCAAAUAGGACGUAACGCGCAUCAAACUUGAU